GGCAGUCACGCUUUCUCUGAGACCCUGAGAUCCUGGUGUGACCAAGCUUCUGGGAUGCUGGGAUCCUGGAAUCCUAAGAUCCUGGGCAUGUUAAAGCGCCUGGAAAUGGUACCUCCUCUGGAGACCAAGGGGCUGUCUGCUGUGUUCAAAAUCAAGCUGCAUAUCUAACAGAUGAGUGUUGAUCUCUGUUACACUAAAGUGUAUGUAUGCACAUGAAUGCAGGCACUCAUGGGGACCAAAAGAGGAAUACUUCGUGCCAGCAGAAGAAUCCAGCCUCUGCGACAACCAUAGAAAUGUGCUGUUCUUUAAUCGCUGGCUGACUCAGUUGUGGUGAACACCAGAGGAACAAGCUUUUUGGCUGUCUGAAUUUCAAAGAUCUCACUUUGAUACUACCAAAUGUUGGAUCUGAGAUUGCAGAGAGGAACUCUUUCUGGCUGAUGAGAAUCCUGUUAGGAUGAGGACCUUCUCUGGACACAGUUCCAGAAAAUGAAUAGUUUCCUGAUGAGGGUCACUCAAGUUCUGAUGUGUGAGGAAUGUUCUUUAAAAUACUAUUAAAGAUAAUCUGUUAGUAUGUUAAGA
RNAcentral lists this long non-coding RNA (579 nucleotides) under Mus spretus (western wild mouse). RNAcentral's name for it is "lncRNA (ENSMSPG00010015626.1)". Lineage: Eukaryota; Metazoa; Chordata; Mammalia; Rodentia; Muridae. The record is from RNAcentral.